This 482-nucleotide ribosomal RNA is filed under the name uncultured bacterium. RNAcentral describes it as "partial 16S ribosomal RNA". It matches the Rfam family "Bacterial small subunit ribosomal RNA", at positions 29 to 507 of the family's 1533-position model. The record is from RNAcentral.
AGUGAACGCUGGCGGCAUGCCUAACACAUGCAAGUCGAACGGUAACGCGGUAUCAGGUUGCUACGAGGGGCGAAGGGUGGCGGACUGCAGCGGAACAUGCCCGAACCUAGGUGUUCGUGGGGGGUAACCUAUGCUAAUUUACCAUACUACCGCCUACGGACUGCGGGUGAAAGCAAGGGCUCUUGCGAACUUACCGGACGAUGGCAGAUUAGGUAGUUGGUGGGAUAAAGGCGUACCAAGCCGACGAUCUGUAGCUGGUCUGAGAGGAUGAUCAGCCACACUGGGACUGAGACACGGCCCAGACUCCUACGGGAGGCGGCAGUGGGGAAUUUUGGACAAUGGGCGCAAGCCUGAUCCAGCCAUGCCGCGUGGGGGAAGAAGGCCUUCGGGUUGUAAACUGCUUUUGUACGGAACGAAAAGCAUUCUUUUAAUACAGGAGGGUCAUGACGGUACCGAAAGAAUAAGCACCGGCUAACUACGUG